Molecule: transfer RNA, 73 nt
Filed under: Paroedura picta
Lineage: Eukaryota; Metazoa; Chordata; Lepidosauria; Squamata; Gekkonidae
Description: tRNA-Gln
Rfam family: tRNA
About the family: Transfer RNA (tRNA) molecules are approximately 80 nucleotides in length. Their secondary structure includes four short double-helical elements and three loops (D, anti-codon, and T loops).
Source: RNAcentral
UAGAAGAUAAUAUAGUGCGGUAGUAUGCAGGAUUUUGGAUUCUGUAGUUUGGGUUCGAGGCCCAUUCUUUUAG